CCGCUCCCCGCGCGCCCAUUGGCCCGCGCGGCCGUCAGUCAGCGGCCGGGCCCAUCUCGCGCUCCCCAUUCAUGCAGUUUGGUUGCGUGACGGUCGGAACAGUUUUUUUUUCGCCGCUUCCAUUUAUUUUCGAUAUCUUAUCUCUAUUAGGUUUUGCAAUCAACUAUUAAGGUGCAACUAUGCC
Neopelma chrysocephalum (saffron-crested tyrant-manakin) is the source of this 184-nucleotide long non-coding RNA. RefSeq lists it as uncharacterized. The record is from RefSeq and is a predicted model, not a curated record. Lineage: Eukaryota; Metazoa; Chordata; Aves; Passeriformes; Pipridae. The transcript has 2 exons.